UUGCCUCGUUAAAAACCUUGCAAGGAAAACCCAGUGGGACAAAACCUUGUAAGGGAAAAAGAGUGCAACGCGCAUUAACUCCCCCUGAAAAGAGUAUUAAUUCACAUCCUUGAGCAUUUGCAUUCCAAUCUUGUGCACCAUCUUUAAAACGAUAUUUUGUAGAGAUUUGAUAAAUAAAUCAGCCAUAUUGAUUUGAAUAAAUAUUCCGCACCUUGAAAUUAUCAUUCUUGAUAGAUAUGAACAUCUUCAUAUAANNNN
Molecule: long non-coding RNA, 258 nt
Filed under: Nicotiana benthamiana
Lineage: Eukaryota; Viridiplantae; Streptophyta; Magnoliopsida; Solanales; Solanaceae
Description: long non-coding RNA (NBEN_LNC027368)
Source: RNAcentral